GACGAACGCUGGCGGCGUGCUUAACACAUGCAAGUCGAACGAAGUGGCGAACGGGUGAGUAACGCGUAAUCAACCUGCCCUUCAGAGGGGGACAACAGUUGGAAACGACUGCUAAUACCGCAUACUGAAGGAGGGGAUUGCGUCUGAUUAGCUAGUUGGAGGGGUAACGGCCCCCCAAGGCGAUGAUCAGUAGCCGGUCUUGGGUGAAGAACGGCCACAUUGGGACUGGAGCACGGCCCAGAAUCCUCCGGGAGGCAGCAGUGGGGGAUCUUCCGCAAUGGACGAAAGUCUUACGGAGCAACGCCGCGGGAGUGAUGACGGCCUUCGGGUUGUAAAGCUCUGUUAAUCGGGGCGCGGUACCGGCAUAUAAAGCCCCGGCUAACUACGUGCCAGCCGCCGCGGUAAUAC
RNAcentral lists this ribosomal RNA (408 nucleotides) under uncultured bacterium. RNAcentral describes it as "partial 16S ribosomal RNA". It matches the Rfam family "Bacterial small subunit ribosomal RNA", at positions 28 to 526 of the family's 1533-position model. The record is from RNAcentral.